This is a long non-coding RNA of Grus americana (Whooping crane), 280 nucleotides long. RefSeq lists it as uncharacterized. The transcript has 3 exons. NCBI's taxonomy places the organism in Eukaryota, Metazoa, Chordata, Aves, Gruiformes, Gruidae. The record is from RefSeq and is a predicted model, not a curated record.
CGGGAACCGCUACGCCAGGGGGCCCCGGCGAGAGACGGGAGCUGCCGGCCUGGGCCUCCGCCUCAUCCUGACAGCGGCCGCCGCCGGCGGGAGGAGGAGGAGGAGCGCCGCGCAGGCGCCCACGGUUUUUACCAGUAAAAAAGUAGAUUUACAUCCUUUGGGUGCAUGUGAAAUCACAGAAAGCGGUGUUGGAGUGGACAGGUGAAGCCCAGGGACGCAGAAGUUGCAUGCAUCUUUAAGGAGGGACUCAGCUGCUCCCAACAGCAAGCCUUGGGUUCAU